This 528-nucleotide long non-coding RNA is filed under the name Homo sapiens (human). Its description in RNAcentral is "HSALNT0211844". The record is from RNAcentral. Lineage: Eukaryota; Metazoa; Chordata; Mammalia; Primates; Hominidae.
GAAAUUUUUUUUAUCUUUAUAGAAACCACCAGAAAUCAGGGAUCAAAAUCGAUAGAUGCCACAUUUUCAGGAAUAAUAAUUCUGAAAAAUAAUGUUAUCAGAGAAAUAGCAAGGCAAAUCACACAAAUACUGUAUAGUAUUUUAAGAUCCAACAAAACAACUAUAAAAAAUAGAGUUCUAAAUUUCUUCAUCGUUCUGAAAAGAAUGCUGUGAAGAUAUUAAGGAAAACAAAGUAACUAUUUGUAGGAUACACGAAACUAUAAAUGCAACAGAUGAGGAAAUUGAUCAUUACUGUAAACAUAGUGAGGAGAUUAAAGACAACUGUAGAAACUGGAAGCCAACAUGUGAUGUUUUUCGUAAACAUGAAGAUUAUAUGCAGGACCAAUUUACUGUUUAUCAAGGAACUGUUGAAAAAGACAAAGAAAUGUAUCAUGAUUAUAUAUGUCAGUAUAAAGAAGUUUUGAAGCAGUACCAACUAAAAUACUCAGAAACACCCUUUUCACGUGAAUAUUAUGAGAAGAAAAGAGA